Molecule: ribosomal RNA, 508 nt
Filed under: uncultured bacterium
Lineage: Bacteria
Description: partial 16S ribosomal RNA
Rfam family: Bacterial small subunit ribosomal RNA
Source: RNAcentral
GACGAACGCUGGCGGCGUGCCUAAUACAUGCAAGUCGAACGCUUCUUUCCUCCCCAUUCCUUUCUCUCAAUUGCAACGAACAGUUGCGUACGGGUUGGUAACCCUUCCUUAACCUACCCAUCAACUUGGGAUAACACUUGGUAACAGGUGCUAAUACCUCAUACCAGUUUAUGCCGCAUGGCAUAAGAUUUAAAUGCCCUUUCUGGUUUCACUGGUGGUUGGACCCGCGGUGCAUUAGCUAGUUGGUAAGGUAACGGCUCACCAAGGCAACGAUGCAUAGCCGACCUGAGAGGGUGAUCGGCCAAACUGGAACUGAGACACGGCCCAGACUCCUACGGGAGGCAGCAGUAGGGAAUCUUCGGCAAUGGACGAAAGCCUGACCGAGCAACGCCGCGUGAGUGAAGAAGGUCUUCGGAUCGUAAAACUCUGUUGUUAGAGAAGAACAAGGACGUUAGUAACUGAACGUCCCCUGACGGUAUCUAACCAGAAAGCCACGGCUAACUACGUG